UUGUCGUAAUGGUAAUUCAACUAGUACGAGAGGAACCGUUGAUUCAGAUAUUUGGUCUUGGCGCUUGGUUGAGAAGCUAUUGGCGCGGAGCUACCAUCUGUUUGGAAGAUUAUGGCUGAACGCCUCUAAGCCAGAAACCCUGCUAGAAACGACGAUAACAAUUCUCUUAACCUCGAUCUUUGGUAAAUAUAGGAAAGGAUUUAUAUUUUUUUCUGCUUUUUUUUUUUGAAUAGCCUAUGAAAAGAAAAAGAGUUAAAGAUCCUUUUUUCAAAUAAACCGUAGUUAAUCUAAGAAAAAAAACAUUCAGCGAAAAAAAAAACAGAGAAAAACGUGCGGAAAAAAAAACCCGACUGUUUUUUUUUCUUUUAUUGCUGAGAUUUCUAAGAUACCUCGAAGAAUGUAAAAACGGGUUGAGAGAGAUGAGAUCACUUGUAGACGACUUGGUUAUGGGACCGGGUAUUGUAAGGAGUAGAGUAGUUUAUAUGCUACGAUCUCUUGAGAUUUAGCCUGGCAAUCCUUGAU
RNAcentral lists this ribosomal RNA (522 nucleotides) under Hemiselmis rufescens. RNAcentral describes it as "partial Eukaryotic large subunit ribosomal RNA". It matches the Rfam family "Eukaryotic large subunit ribosomal RNA", at positions 3008 to 3397 of the family's 3401-position model. Lineage: Eukaryota; Cryptophyceae; Cryptomonadales; Hemiselmidaceae. The record is from RNAcentral.